CUGAAAUUACUACUGCCACAUUGUACUGCUUAUUCUAUCUGAUAAAGCUUGCCAAUUUCUUAAUGCACAUGAAGGGUCUUGCGCAAUACUUGCUGGCAGUUUUAAAUGCUCAGGGGACACCCCUUCAUUGGAAGCAGUUGAACAACAGGAGACUUGAAGGGUUCAAAAUGAUUCUAAGGAAAAACAUGAGUACAAUCUUAAAGAUCUUCGGGGCCAAUUAGGAGGAAGCUGCCAAAUAAUUCUGAUAUGAUUUACACUGAGGAUUCACUAGUCAUAUAAAAAGAUGAGAGUGACUCGGAGGGUUUGGUAAAGCAGCAAUUUGUAGCAUACAUAAGGCAUUUAGGAUACCAUAAGGCCUUGGAAGCUCAUUUGAUGAUAUCAAAUAAGUUUCUUACUUUUUUUAGGGCAGAUAAACUUGGUCCAUUCAUCCUUGAUGAAGUCCCUGAUGCAAAUGCUGUGUCUUGAGUUGUAAGUCACGUUUUUUUUUUUUUUUUUCCUUUUCUUUUUGGUGUGUAACAUUACGACUGUAUAUGCUGGUCUUUUCUUCCUCUUCCCUUUCCCCUCUUCUAUAUUGUCUUGGUGUUUUAAACUUACUAUAAUUGUAUUAUAGAGCUAAAAGAUGCUUUGAAUUGGUCAGUUUUUGUCACAUUCUUAAUGGAAAAUCUGCAAAGCAGUGCUAAUGAUGCUCCAUUUUGGACA
Molecule: long non-coding RNA, 699 nt
Organism: Quercus lobata
Lineage: Eukaryota; Viridiplantae; Streptophyta; Magnoliopsida; Fagales; Fagaceae
Exons: 2
Source: RefSeq, a predicted model, not a curated record